ACUAAAUUUGUCUACAAGCUACAAAUGCCACUGCCUUUUUAAGCUGGAAUUGGUUGCAAGAGUAGGAUAGAAAAACAUACUUGAACAAAAUCAUGUCUGAUCGAAGAACGAGAGGUUCUAGGAACAGAGAAGACGAGCUUGACAACCUUGUCUUGAAAUUACAAUCAUUACUACCCUCAUCAAGUUCUAGCUGCAAUAAAAGAAAGGUACCAGCAUCAAAGAUUCUACAAGAGACAUGCAAUUACAUAAAAAGCCUCAGAACAAAAGGUGACAAUUUGGGAGAAAGACUAUCUCAACUACUGGACUCCAUGGAAAACAACGGCAUAGAUGUGAACAUCAUUAGAGAUCUUCUGCAGCAAUAAUGUGUCGUGUGUCGGCGUGUGUGGAUGUCACAGAACCACACAAGUGCAUAUUGUAUUCGUCUUAUUAUCUGCUUGUAGCAUGUAUAAAAAACUAUGUUUUGAGGUUGUUGGACUCAAUCAGACAGAUAUUAAGCUAAUUAAAUACUCCAGUUACUAAUA
Molecule: long non-coding RNA, 521 nt
Organism: Erigeron canadensis
Lineage: Eukaryota; Viridiplantae; Streptophyta; Magnoliopsida; Asterales; Asteraceae
Exons: 2
Source: RefSeq, a predicted model, not a curated record